GCCCUUUUAACUCAGUGGUAGAGUAACGCCAUGGUAAGGCGUAAGUCAUCGGUUCAAAUCCGAUAAGGGGCUUUCUUUUGAGGUUU
RNAcentral lists this transfer RNA (86 nucleotides) under Grubovia dasyphylla. Its description in RNAcentral is "tRNA-Thr". The stretch from base 1 to 72 matches the Rfam family "tRNA". Rfam says of the family: Transfer RNA (tRNA) molecules are approximately 80 nucleotides in length. The record is from RNAcentral. RNAcentral also lists the same sequence under 2 other names. Lineage: Eukaryota; Viridiplantae; Streptophyta; Magnoliopsida; Caryophyllales; Amaranthaceae.